UUUGUGUUGUGUUUUUUCUCCUAUGUUUGUCAUUCAUUGGUCAGUCAGUAGGAAGAACGACGUUAGCUUGACUAGCUAGGUUCCGAGGGGAAAACCGCUAAGUUGUGAUUACAGGUAGCAUAAUUGGUGCUUCAUACUCUAAUCAGCAGCCUGCGCAAGGAUAUUACUUCUACGUGUUUGUGUUUAAUCUCUGUGAUUAUGUAUCGCCUAAGGUAGCCGUACAUAAAGUAAUUUGGCUUUUUCGGUGAGAGGAAAUGCAUGUUAGCCACUGUGGAGCUGAAGCAGCUAACUAGAGACUUUUAAACCUAUAAAAAUCCAUGGUUCAGCUUUGGACCGGGAGACUACAGCUACAGAGUGGACCCAGAACUACUGGCAAGGCAAUAAGACUCUGCUCUGCUACUGUUUACAUUUUUUAUCAAUACACUUUAUUUGAUCAGAGGUUGACUUAUGUCUGAUUCCAGUUUCAGGCAGCAGAAAAACAGAAGAUCCAGGUUAUAUUACUGGAAACCUACUGGAACAUGUGAAGUUUGAAGACAAGGAUUGUAAAAAGGAGGAUCCGGGGUGGAGUGAGGAUGUCUGACGUGAUGAAGGUUGAAGCAGUUCAUCGGAUGUUUAUGAUUAAAGAGAUUCCCCAUGAUUGGACUCCUAGUUUGGACAGUGAGAAUCCAGAAGCCCACAUGAAGGAGGAAGAGAAGAGACUGUGGAUCAGUCAGGAAGAAGAGUUGCUUACUGUGAAGAUUAAAGAUGGAGAGAAACCUCAUUUAUCAGAGCUUUAUCAAAUCCAAACUGAAGAACAUCUAGAGACAGAAGUUCCAACCAGCAGUUCACCUGAACCUGUUGCAGAGAACUUUAGGAGGCCAGAACCAGACAGGGACCCAGAACCUGGAUGUCCCUCCCAGCAAAGUAACAUGGCAGAUGGGGAGAAAUCAUUUGGUUGCAAUUUGUGCGAUAAAAGAUUCAGACGUAAGCAUUUUGUUAAAUUACACAUGAUGACUCACACAGGAAAGAGAGAGCAUAGUUGUGAUCUUUGUGGUAAAGGAUUUGUAGGAAAGCAUUCUCUUCAGACACAAUAUCCACCCCAGAGAGAAAUCUUUUGCCUGUGAUGUUUGCUGUAGAAGGUUUCAUGCAAAGACGAGUCUUAGACAAGAAGGUCCACUCAGAAGAAAAACCUUUUUCAUGUGAUGUUUGUGGUUCAUGAUUCUGGUUAAAAUAAAUUUUUAAAAAGCACAUACAGAUCCAUUCCACAGAGAAACCAUUUGUAGUGUUUGUAGAAAACGGUUUUUGCGACAAGGAAAUCUAAAGAGUCACAUGCAUAUUCACACCGGAGAGAGACCGAUUAUUUGUAGUGUUAGUAGUAAAGAAUUUUCUCAACUAAUUCAUUUGAUGAGUCACAUGCGUGUUCACAUGGAAGAGAAACCAUUGAUUUGUGGCUUUUGCUACAGAAGAUUUUCCCAUUCAAUUAGUCUAAAGAGUCACAUGCCUGUUCAUACAGGAGAGAAACCGUUUAUUUGUAAAUUUAAUCAGUUAAUUUUUCUAAAUUGUCAACAAGUCUUUAAUCCAUCUCUGCAUUAUGUGAUCACAGUUUUGUUUAGUAGCAGUACUAAAUUGCACUUUGAAAUAUUGGGUGAAUUUAGAGGCUUUUAUUGCGAUAAAAAAGGUCAUUUCUAUUUUGUUUAAGCUGCAAAGAACUCAUGUUGGGUUAUAUAAACAUUGUUCAAAGUUAGCCGAUCAUUCUGUACUAAAAAAACACUUCUGAGAUUUUAUUUCCUCCGAGAAAACAAAACGAUUGAAUAAAACUGUUUAAUGAUCUC
This is a long non-coding RNA of Xiphophorus couchianus (Monterrey platyfish), 1811 nucleotides long. RefSeq lists it as uncharacterized. The transcript is spliced from 2 exons. NCBI's taxonomy places the organism in Eukaryota, Metazoa, Chordata, Actinopteri, Cyprinodontiformes, Poeciliidae. The record is from RefSeq and is a predicted model, not a curated record.